UAAUGUAUGGGGAUCUGCCCGAUAGAGGGGGAUAACUACUGGAAACGGUGGCUAAUACCGCAUAAUGUCUACGGACCAAAGCAGGGCUCUUCGGACCUUGCACUAUCGGAUGAACCCAUAUGGGAUUAGCUAGUAGGUGGGGUAAAGGCUCACCUAGGCGACGAUCUCUAGCUGGUCUGAGAGGAUGAUCAGCCACACUGGGACUGAGACACGGCCCAG
RNAcentral lists this ribosomal RNA (219 nucleotides) under uncultured bacterium. RNAcentral describes it as "partial 16S ribosomal RNA". It matches the Rfam family "Bacterial small subunit ribosomal RNA", at positions 111 to 334 of the family's 1533-position model. The record is from RNAcentral.